GAGAAGAUACCUUCGGGUAUUGGAAAGUGGCGCACGGGUGAGUAACGCGUGGGAACCUGCCCUGAGGUACGGGAUAACGGCUGGAAACGGCCGCUAAUACCGUAUGUCCCCUGCGGGGGAAAGAUUUAUCGCCUUGGGAGGGGCCCGCGUCCGAUUAGCUAGUUGGUGAGGUAAUGGCUCACCAAGGCGACGAUCGGUAGCUGGUCUGAGAGGAUGAUCAGCCACACUGGGACUGAGACACGGCCCAGACUCCUACGGGAGGCAGCAGUGGGGAAUAUUGGACAAUGGGGGCAACCCUGAUCCAGCAAUGCCGCGUGUGUGAUGAAGGCCUUAGGGUUGUAAAGCACUUUCACUGGUGAAGAUGAUGACGGUAGCCAGAGAAGAAGCCCCGGCUAACUCCGUGCCAGCAGCCGCGGUAAU
RNAcentral lists this ribosomal RNA (420 nucleotides) under uncultured Alphaproteobacteria bacterium. RNAcentral describes it as "bacterial SSU rRNA". It matches the Rfam family "Bacterial small subunit ribosomal RNA", at positions 68 to 524 of the family's 1533-position model. Lineage: Bacteria; Pseudomonadati; Pseudomonadota; Alphaproteobacteria. The record is from RNAcentral.